UUAAGUUCAGCGGGUAUCCCUACCUGAUCCGAGGUCAACCUGAAAAAUAGAGGGUUCUGGCAGGUGCCGCCCGGGGAUCUGUAGCGAGGAGUAUUACUACGCUGAGAGCCCGGCCGUACCGCCACUGCUUUUGGGGCCCGCCAACCGGCGGUGCCCAAGACCAGCGAGCUGGAUUGGUUAUAAUGACGCUCGAACAGGCA
This 200-nucleotide unclassified non-coding RNA is filed under the name Hymenoscyphus sp. RNAcentral describes it as "partial internal transcribed spacer 2". The record is from RNAcentral. Lineage: Eukaryota; Fungi; Ascomycota; Leotiomycetes; Helotiales; Helotiaceae.